RNAcentral lists this ribosomal RNA (497 nucleotides) under uncultured bacterium. Its description in RNAcentral is "partial 16S ribosomal RNA". It matches the Rfam family "Bacterial small subunit ribosomal RNA", at positions 28 to 507 of the family's 1533-position model. The record is from RNAcentral.
GAUGAACGCUGGCGGCGUGCCUAAUACAUGCAAGUCGAGCGAACGGACGAGAAGCUUGCUUCUCUGAUGUUAGCGGCGGACGGGUGAGUAACACGUGGAUAACCUACCUAUAAGACUGGGAUAACUUCGGGAAACCGGAGCUAAUACCGGAUGAUAUUUUGAACCGCAUGGUUCAAAAGUGAAAGACGGUCUUGCUGUCACUUAUAGAUGGAUCCGCGCUGCAUUAGCUAGUUGGUAAGGUAACGGCUUACCAAGGCAACGAUGCAUAGCCGACCUGAGAGGGGGAUCGGCCACACUGGAACUGAGACACGGUCCAGACUCCUACGGGAGGCAGCAGUAGGGAAUCUUCCGCAAUGGGCGAAAGCCUGACGGAGCAACGCCGCGUGUGUGAUGAAGGUCUUCGGAUCGUAAAACUCUGUUAUUAGGGAAGAACAUAUGUGUAAGUAACUGUGCACAUCUUGACGGUACCUAAUCAGAAAGCCACGGCUAACUACGUG